AAUGAACGCUGGUGGCGUGCUUAACACAUGCAAGUCGAGCGAGAAAGUCCCUUCGGGGAUGAGUACAGCGGCGGACGGGUGAGUAAUGCGUAAGAAUCUACCCUCUAAUGAAGGAUACCCCCGAGAAAUCGGGUCCAAUACUGCAUAAGUCCCUCCGGGGAGAAAGGUGGCCUAAUUUGCUGCCGUUAGAGGAUGAGCUUGCGUGCUAUUAGCUAGUUGGUGGGGUAAAGGCCUACCAAGGCAAUGAUGGCUAGCCGGCCUGAGAGGGUGUCCGGCCACACUGGAACUUAGACACGGUCCAGACUCCUACGGGAGGCAGCAGUGGGGAAUAUUGCGCAAUGGGCGAAAGCCUGACGCAGCGACGCCGCGUGGAGGAUGAAGGUCUUCGGAUUGUAAACUUCUGUUAAGUGGGAAAAAAGACCGGUUUUUAAUAGAAAUCGGGGAUGAUUGUACCAUUAGAGAAAGCACUGGCUAACCUCGUGCCAGCCGCCGCCGUAA
Molecule: ribosomal RNA, 498 nt
Filed under: uncultured bacterium
Lineage: Bacteria
Description: partial 16S ribosomal RNA
Rfam family: Bacterial small subunit ribosomal RNA
Source: RNAcentral